CCGUUUAAAGAGGUACGUGAGCUGGGUUUAGAACGUCGUGAGACAGUUCGGUCCCUAUCUUCCGUGGGUGUAGGAUACUUGAGAGGAGUUGCCCCUAGUACGAGAGGACCGGGGUGAACGAUCCACUGGUGGACCAGUUGUUAUGCCAAUAGCAGUGCUGGGUAGCUAUGAUCGGACAGGAUAACCGCUGAAGGCAUCUAAGCGGGAAGCCCCCCUCAAAACAAGGUAUCCCUGAGAGCCGAGGUAGACCACCUCGUCGAUAGGCCAGAGAUGUAAGCGUGGUAACACGUUCAGUUGACUGGUACUAAUUGCUCGAUAGGCUUGAUUUGAUCCAG
This 335-nucleotide ribosomal RNA is filed under the name Sulfitobacter sp. HI0027. RNAcentral describes it as "bacterial LSU rRNA". It matches the Rfam family "Bacterial large subunit ribosomal RNA", at positions 2584 to 2925 of the family's 2925-position model. The record is from RNAcentral. Lineage: Bacteria; Pseudomonadati; Pseudomonadota; Alphaproteobacteria; Rhodobacterales; Roseobacteraceae.